CUGGAGAGAUGGAGAAAACUUUGGAACACAAGCAGGAAGCAUCCGCCUUGAGGGUAAUAUAAGGGCUGAGGGAUGCUCUGCCCGCCCCGCCCAAGAAUGUGCCUGGAACUUUCCGACCAAUGGCCUGGUUGCCUGGGCUCCCAACGGUCUUCGAAGUCUGCAGCAUCAUCAUGGCCGUCAUAAGCAGCAUUGCUGUGGUAACG
Molecule: long non-coding RNA, 203 nt
Filed under: Sarcophilus harrisii (Tasmanian devil)
Lineage: Eukaryota; Metazoa; Chordata; Mammalia; Dasyuromorphia; Dasyuridae
Description: lncRNA (ENSSHAG00000022021.1)
Source: RNAcentral